Molecule: ribosomal RNA, 460 nt
Filed under: uncultured bacterium
Lineage: Bacteria
Description: partial 16S ribosomal RNA
Rfam family: Bacterial small subunit ribosomal RNA
Source: RNAcentral
CCUACGGGAGGCUGCAGUGAGGCAUAUUGGUCAAUGGGCGAGAGCCUGAACCAGCCAAGUCGCGUGAGGGAUGACGGCCCUACGGAUUGUAAACUUCUUUUGUCAGGGAGCAAUUGGGUCCACGCGUGGGCUUAGCGAGAGUACCUGAAGAAAAAGCAUGGGCUAAAUCCUGGCCAGCAGCCGCGGUAAUACGGAGGUUGGGAGCGUUAUCCGGAUUUAUGGGGUUUAAAGGGUGCGUAGGCGGAAUAUUCAGCCAGCGGGAAAAAUUCGGGGCUAAACCCCUACGGGGCGUUGAAACGGAUAUUCGUGAGUGGGAGAGAAGUAUGCGGAAGGCGGGGGGUAGCGGUGAAAGGCAUAGAAAUCACGCAGAACUCCGAUUGCGAAGGCAGCAUACCGGCGCCAAACUGACGCUGAGGCACGAAAGCGUGGGUAUCGAACAGGAUUAGAUACCCUAGUAGUC